This 515-nucleotide long non-coding RNA is filed under the name Homo sapiens (human). Its description in RNAcentral is "HSALNT0175046". Lineage: Eukaryota; Metazoa; Chordata; Mammalia; Primates; Hominidae. The record is from RNAcentral.
GUUCAAGAAUGGCCUGGACCUGGGAGAAGACGCCCGCUUCCGCAUGUUCAGCAAGCAGGGAGUGUUGACUCUGGAGAUUAGAAAGCCCUGCCCCUUUGACGGGGGCAUCUAUGUCUGCAGGGCCACCAACUUACAGGGCGAGGCACGGUGUGAGUGCCGCCUGGAGGUGCGAGUGCCUCAGUGACCAGGCUGGCUCCUGGGGAUGGCCAGGUACAACCGGAUGCCAGCCCCGUGCCAGGAGCCUGGAGGGAAGUUGGGGAAACCCCUCCCUACUGUUGGAUGUAUGUGUGACAAGUGUGUCUCCUGUGCUGCGAUGGGGGAUCAGCAGGGCAGUUGUCGGGCAGUCCUGAGUGGGUGUUGCACAGACUGGUCCACAGGGCUCCUGAAGGAAGCCCCUGGAUCUUUGGGGUAAAAGGAGGGUGGCCUCAAGAAACAAUGUCUGGGGACAGGCCUUUCUGGCCUGCUAUGUCUUCCCAAUGUUUAUUGGGCAAUAAAAGAUAAGUGCAGUCACAGAG